GUUUCGAUUUUCAAUAAUUAGAAUCAUUUUAUCUCCUCGUGCCUGUUUGAUUACAACUUAAUGGAUAUUAUUGAUUCAAUAUCUGAUUCAUUAAGCAUUCAGAUUAUUUGUUUGAGACAAAUAAAGGUCUGGAAUGGUCUGACCGAAACAGCCAAAUUUUCCUAACUUACUCUAUGAUCAAAUCUCUCAUCACAGAAGACUAUAUCGUAAUUCCUUCAAUUAGCUGGCAUUGUUCUUCCUCUUCUUCUCCGGCCGGCGACGUCCAACAAAUCAGUUAAGUCUUCUAUUUUUCUUCUUUUAUGUGCCCACCAUUCUUUCUCCUAAUUCAUUGCACUAGUAUUAUUUUUUCCUUCCUCUUAACGUUAGGACUUACGAAUUAGAGAUUUCCCGACUAAAUAUCUUUUUUGCUGUAAUAGGCAAGCUUUUUGAAAAAACUGAGUGCGAUUUGCGGAAAAAAAAAAUGAAUAUUAUGGGGAGUAGAACAUUGGCAGGAAAAAGGUAAAAUAGAUUCUGGGUGUUAUUAUUUUUUUAUUGCGAGUAUGAAGUACAAUUGAGUUCUUUUGUAUACUGAAAGCCAUUGUAAUUACUUCAGUUGAUAUUUUUGUUGCAUUUCUUUGAUGAGUUUAAUUUGUUCCUAAUCAAUCCUUAUAUAUAAAUACUGCACAUCAUCUCCAACUCAAUCAAUUUCAAAAUCAAUUAAGAGUUCACUCGCUCAAUUAGAAAAAAUUCACUGUAAAUUGGAACCCAGACAAAACCGUUCCCCAAUUCUUCCUCUUCUUCUUCUUCACUACCCUCACCCCUAUUUCACUUCCAUAUACCUAUUCCCCUUCUCUGGCUCCUUUCAAUUUCUCACCACCAAAAACGAGUUCAUGAACUUGGUCGCCUCACCGACCCUUCUUCUUCCUCCUAGACCUCCACCUUCCUCGCUGCCGCCUCGACCCGUGGCGAUGUCUCGCCAGCAGCGAAACUGGCUUCCAUAGUCUGACAG
RNAcentral lists this long non-coding RNA (988 nucleotides) under Panax ginseng (ginseng). RNAcentral's name for it is "long non-coding RNA (PGIN_LNC005337)". The record is from RNAcentral. Lineage: Eukaryota; Viridiplantae; Streptophyta; Magnoliopsida; Apiales; Araliaceae.